Hemiscyllium ocellatum (epaulette shark) is the source of this 74-nucleotide non-coding RNA. The record is from the annotation of a RefSeq genome assembly. NCBI's taxonomy places the organism in Eukaryota, Metazoa, Chordata, Chondrichthyes, Orectolobiformes, Hemiscylliidae.
GGUCGGUCAGCUCAGCUGGUUAGAGCUUACUGCUGAUAACGCUAAGGUCGUGGGUUCAAACCCCACACUGAGCA